UACGGAGGGUGCAAGCGUUAUCCGGAUUCACUGGGUUUAAAGGGUGCGUAGGCGGGUUGGUAAGUCCGUGGUGAAAUCCCCAAGCUUAACUUGGGAACUGCCGUGGAUACUAUCAAUCUUGAAUAUCGUGGAGGUAAGCGGAAUAUGUCAUGUAGCGGUGAAAUGCUUAGAUAUGACAUAGAACACCAAUUGCGAAGGCAGCUGGCUACGCAUAUAUUGACACUGAGGCACGAAAGCGUGGGGAUCAAACAGG
Molecule: ribosomal RNA, 253 nt
Filed under: uncultured bacterium
Lineage: Bacteria
Description: partial 16S ribosomal RNA
Rfam family: Bacterial small subunit ribosomal RNA
Source: RNAcentral